UCCAACUCCCUCGUGAACACAGCUGGUUUGGUCUACACUAAGGUUGUUUUAUAUCAUAUCAGUUCUUUGAACUUUAAUGACAUGCGAAUGAGGAACAGUGAUACCGUUAUCUCUAUCUGAUCGCCAUAUGAAAUAUAUGUUAUAUUCAAGGGACACAUAUGAUGUCUACAUUCGGAAUUAUACCGCAUAUCACAUUCGGUAGGAUAUAACAUUUGUAUUUAUGAUAUUGUUCUCUGUUGCGAAGGUGAGGGAGUUUCUCGCUGCAUUGAAGACCCAUUGAUGGCAUUCGGCUGUUGUCUGCCCUAUGGUCGGGUUGUUGUCUCUUUGACACAUUGCCCAUUUCAAUUCUGGAUUUUAAGUAAUUACGUGUCUUUCUAAAAUGUUCUAAUGUGUCCGAUAUUGUAACAUUUACAGGAGCAUUGCCAUAGGGGUUUAUCAUUACACUUUGAUUAUUUGCCAUGACAAAGAAAUUAAACUUUCAGUAUAUUGUUUAGCUAAAUUAUGUGGAAGAUUAAACACAUAACCAGCUAAAAGAUGAAUGAGAUGUGGGUUGAUAUUACAAUUUCGCUAUUUUUUGUUUAGAUAUAUUUAUUGCUUUUUUUUAAUUCUGAGGUUGUUCACCUUGGCUGUAAAAAUUUUGGAAAACCUAUUCGAAUUUUGGGUUCGCAAGGCUCUUCCGCGUCAUACAUUAUUUUGAUAUUUUAACGUUUAUGAUUUGAGCUUCACUGAUGUAUCCUUUUCAGCUUCAAGAUAAAAAAAAAAUAUUAAAAUCUAUUCGAAUUCAAAUAUUAAAACAUGAUAGAUAAAAUACAUGAUUUUUUUUUAAUAAACAAUUCAAAUGUAUAUAUUGUGACAAAAUAUUUGAUAAAACUUAAUAACAAACUACACCGAAAACUAUUACUUCUCUUUAUUACAAUAUAUUCAUACUUUUUUUCUCACCAGCACACAUUAUGGUUAAAAGCGACUCAGAAAAUUGUUCAUGAUAUUUUUUUUUACAUUGACAGACAUCAGUUUUCAAACUGAAUCAAUUGGUAUCCGAAAGACAAUCUAUAAUGAUUGCUUUAUUUUUAUAUAGUUAUUUAUAAGUGGUGUAAUAUAGAUUUUCUAUUUUUAAAAGAAAUAUUAAUAAAUAAUUAUAAAAAUGCCGAUAUAUGCAAGGAAUAAUAUUAUAUCUUACAGUAAAUUAAAUGAUUGAAUAGCUGAAGUAGGCAUUCUUAUGUAAAAUGUGUACUUUACUUUUUUUAAAGUCCUUGUGGCGUUUGUCGGCGUAUGUGUGGCACACCAAACUCCAUUCAGAUGUUUUAGAGACAUCUGUGACCAUGGUGAUGUAAUGUUUUCAUUUAUAUUAUUAUAUUAUUUUAUUUGUACACAAAAACAAGUAUUGUGUAGAUCGCAAUAAAUUAAUUACCAACGAUUAAGUUCUCUAACAAUUCAAAUAGACAUACAAACAAAGAAAACAACAAGCGACAACACAUGUUCUUUAUUCACUUGGUAUAGGCACAAAAUAUGGUUGGUUCAUUAUCUUUGGCUAAAAGGGGAAACAAGAAAAAUACAGACAAACAAAUGUACAUAAAACACAGCAUGGAAAACUAAAGACUGAGCAACCUAAACUCCACCAAAAACUGGGAAUAAUCUCAAGUCCUUUGUAAGGAUAAGAAGGGCCUUUUCCACACGUGGCACCCCUCGCGUUGCUCAUCAAACUCCGUUUAGUGAUAGUUACCGUUUCGGAACUAUUUUCCUUUACUCCAUCGUAAGUGUAGAGUAGUAUGCAGAUCGGAGCUGAAACUGCCGGGGAGUUAGGUUGCCCAUGUCAGAAUAAGCCGGUAUUAAGUCUCACUGCUUUGGUAGGUCACGUCUGGGAAAAGGUAACGGGAUUGCAGUAACGACAUCUGGAACAUAACCGAUAUCAUCUAUGAAACGGAUAGUCCAUAAGGUCAUUCAACUCGUGAGGGCGUCCGUAAAACUCUAUCAAGGAAAUCAUGAUAGGAAAUACAACAAGCUUUGGUAUAUCGUAUCAACAGGGAUAUAUAUACAUUCAGUAUGCAGGUGUUGCUAGACUGUUGCAACAUAGAAAUGGAAAGAUUACAAUUGUGAAGCUAAAGUCACCUCUUUUGUCGUAAAUGUUAGUUUUCAACCGACCCGCAAGUCAAGUAGGUAAAGAAAUAAGGCAGACUUAACUGUUUCCAUUAUAUCCUUUAUCUCAAGUUCGAUUUUUACAACAGUAAUGGGCAAAGGGUAUAAGGAAUAGAAAAAAAAUACCAAAACAAUUAACGAUAAACAGAACUGGAGGACCCCAACCAAAACCUCCUUUAUUUGAAUAUGUUCACAUGAAAUAUUCGUGUAUCUCUUGUCAACCACAAUUUAACAAUCAACUUUCCUCUCGCAGUAUAUUAUGUUUACUACGUGUUAUAAAUAUAUUAUAAUGAGAUACAGUGAUACAUACGGAAGCCGAUAAGGGCCAUUAAAAAAAAUUAAUUAUGUCGUAAUUACGACAUAGCAUGUCGUAAUUUCGUCAUAACAUGUCGUUAUUACGACAUCGCGAUGUCGUUAUUUCGACAUAACAUGUCGUUAUAACGACAUCGCUAUGUCGUAAUUUCGACAUAACAUGAUUAUGUCGUUAUAACGACAUCGCUAUGUCGUAAUAACGACAUAACAUGUCGUAAUAACGACAUCACUAUGUCCGCGUUAUAACGAUUUACGACAUCGCUAUAUAUAUAAAAGAAUAUAUGUAUUAUGAUUGCCAAGAGACUAAAUGAUACAGAAAUUAACAACUAUUGGUCAUCAUAAUGCCCCCAAUAAUUAGAAAAGCCCCCGCAUAGUCAGCUAUAAAAGAGGGACGAAAGAUACCAUAGGGAGAGUCCCCGAAAUGCUGUGUGGCAGACAGUGUUAUUGAUAAAUUAUUAGCUCCCUUAAUAAAAAUUUCAUAUUUAAUGUAUUUCAUUGUUAAAUAAUUUACAUGAAGCUUAAUAAGUAUAUAUUUGUUAAUUGCAUAGCUUUUGCUAUUUGAAUCCAUUGGUUAAAGAUAUUUAUUUAUAUUGUAAAGUUUAAUAUUUGCAUCGUCGCAAAAUCUUUGGUUACCUUCAUUGAGAAAUUUAUAUAUUUUAUAGAUUCAUUGAAGUUCAUUAAACUACCGUCGUAUCGUGAAAGGGCUAUAUAGCCUGUCAAGGACGGUAUAAACUUCUAAAGAAUAAUAUGUGGAAAUAUAUUUGAAUUGGCAUGCAGUUCUACCAAGGCAAGCUAAGCUCUCCACCUCCCAUUUCAUAAGCGCAAACUACAUUGCUUCUUGUAAUAAGGGUGAAUUAAAGUAUUGAUUGCUCUAUUUCUACUUUCAAACGUUGGGCACGAUGUUCCUACAACACCACGUUACACUUUUAAAAUUAAAAAAUGCGGCGUCGAAAAGGGUUUUAUUCGGUUUUUUAUAUGUUGGUUGAUUCUGGUUCUGUUCGUUUUGUGAUGUAAUUUUAUCAUAAGUUACCUCAAGUUGUGGAAAUCGAUUUAAUAAUGUUUACCCUUUAAGUUAUUUCAACAAAAAAUGCAGAACUGUCGCAAGUAAUGUAGGAAGGAAAGAUGGGACGGAAGUGCAUGUAUACGGUUUUCCAUAAAAAAAAAUAUUUGUAUAUGUACAAAACUUUUAUCAUAGGAUGUUUAACUUUCAAGGUGCAUAUCAUCUGUCAUUGUAAAAUUUCUAUAUCUUAAUUCAACCCCAAUACAAAUAUAUCUGACACUGCAAGUAAAUCGAACAUUUUUACCCUUAAUUGGUUAAAUUUGAAUAGAAUUGUAUUUUCCCUGGCACACAAGUUGUCGAAAUGCACCCCCUCAAUUACUUGAACCUUGACUUGAGAAUUAUUUCCCAAGUCAUCUAUAGUGUUCAACUUCUGAUAUACAUUUUAAAAUAUAGUAAUCUACUAGUACCCCAAAAUCGUCCGCGAAAACGGCUAAUAUAAUCCCGGGUUUUUAUUGAUUCGAUGAAACAGUUUUCGUCGCUGUUUGGGAUUCGUCUUUCAAUUACUUCCAUUUCAUACACAAGUUUAUAUUGACGAAAAGUUCCGGCUUCGCUACUACAUGAAUUACUUUCAUCACGACAGUUAUAACAUGAAUAGCAGGACAAAUCGCGAAGUAAAACAUUCCGUGAACUGGUUUUAAGUCUUUUAAUAUUGGUGAUUGCACCUUACUGAAGUGACGACUUUAAAUGGUCUAUUUCGGAGUACUUCCGCACCAUAAAUUUCAAUUCGCAUUUUACAUUUAGAGGACUGUUUUGGUGUCUCCAAUUUGUCUUUGCAAAAGUUGGACGAAGUUCAUGUAAUGAGACAUUUCCCCAUUCUUUUAAAUAAAUCGUUAAAAGCUAUAAACGAUUAAUAAAAAUUGCAAAAUUUAACCUGUGUCGAACCUAUGUCCCCGGGCGGAGUCUAUAGCAACAUGCACUAUUCUUUUUUUCGGCAGCAAUCAUCAACCUCGUUUUCCAAAUUUAAUAACACGAUUUGUUGUUAAUUAUCAUGAACAUUUAAUUGAAACUUUUGCACAUGUACAUUGUAACGUCGGAAAUUGGCGUCUUUCGGAUUUUAGACGUUUUCAGACGUUUGGACAAAUUGGCUACCGUUUUGUAAUGUGUGGAAUCAUUUUCAUUCCUUUAAGACCCAAAUAUGUAGUUAAUAAGAAAAGAAUCUUGGAAUUUUUUACUCUUCGUGUAUCUAUCUAACUUUUAUUUUAAUCAAUCAUAAAAAAUACGUGUUAACUGCUUUGAAAAAUGAAAUAUCGACUUGGACAAAAUGGCUACCGUUUGAAAAACGACUGUGUAGAGAAGAUUUUUUUGAAACAGCAAUAUUUGAACUCACGAACAAUGAGGCAAAUAUUUGUACUUUUGUUAGAUAUUAUUAUUGUCUUACUCUUUUUAUUCAUUUUCUGCUAUAUAUUCUUAUAAAAUUCACUUUCAGUCGUUGAGUUAACGAAAUACGUCGUUGGACAUUUUUCUUAUUCCAGCUUAAUAUACCACCACCGAGUCAAAUGAAAUCUGGCAAAAUAACGGCUUUUAACGCCACAAAGAACCGACACAUGUCGCUGUUCCUGUCAAGAAUCAAAAAGAUCAGAAAAUAAGAAAUAGGAUCACUUUAAUUUUCAUAAGAGUUGAAACAGUUUUUCCUAAAUGUAACGUUGGACAUCCGUUUUUUCACAUAGUUUUGUUAUUUUAAUCCUCAAAUAAACUAGGUAAUUCUUACUAUAUGAUCAAGAGCUGUAAAAACAUAAUUUAAAACAUAUAAUAUAUUGAUUUUGUUUUAAUAUUGGUUCGUGUUUUCUAACAUUUUUAUUUUGUUUUGCGGAUGAAAUUUCGAAGAUCCCGUUUUAAAUCCUAGGGGUUGUAGGAACAUCGUGCCCACCGUUUGAAAGUAGAGAUAAAGCAAUCAAUACUUCAGUUCAUCGUUAUUACAAGAAGCCAUGUAGUUUGUGCUUAUUUAAAUAGGUGGAAAGCUUGGCUUGCCUUGGUAGGACUGAAUGUCAGUCCUCUUAUCAGUUCCACAUCUUAUUCUUCAACAAAUAGAAGUUACUAUCGAACUAUCGACCUUGACAGGCUAGAAAACCUUGCCACGGUCGGUACAUGAUUAAAAUUCAAUAGGAUCUAUGAAAUAUAUAAGUUUAGGCCACACCAAUUUGAUUCCUUGUUCGACGGACCCGCCCGCACCUAUUUUUUUCAAAACAGAUUUUUUUUAUUUUUUUUAUAUUCCCGCUUCCCGCAUCCGGAAAUGUAAUCAUGUCCAUUUCCAGCACCGUUUUUUUUGUAAAUAUUAUAAAAAAGAUAUCAACAUUUGUUUUUAAAAUCACAGUCUAACCUGUAUAUAACGAUUUUAAGCAUAAAAGCACCCCACCACACUGUGUAAAUAUCUGUGAGAAUAUUUGUUUCAGCAUGAAACCUAUUUAUCCAAGGGAGUGCUCCGAUAAAUUUACAACAGCGGAAAUACCUGUAAAGAACAAAAAAAUGGUUUCUUUCCCCCUUACUUAUAUUCCCUAUAAAAAAAUGUUCGUUGUUAGAAUAAAGUACAAUGAACUUCUGAAGGAUUUGCCUUCAACUGCAAUUAUAUUAUAUGCUGGCAAAACAAAACUAUCCAUAGCCGCUGCAUGUUUAUGCACCUGUCCUGAUUGAUUCAGGGGCCUGUCGUUCAGCAGCUAUCGUUUGUUGAUGUAGUUUAUUGGUAUUUUUCCGUUUGGAUAUAUAAAUUAGAUCGUUGGUUUUCCUGUUCGAAUUGUGUACGCUAUAAUUUUGGGGUCCUUUAUACAUGUAGCUUGCUGUUUGGUCUGUAUCAAAGCCCUGUGUAAAAGGCCAUACUUUGACCUGUGUUUGUUAUUAUCAGGUUGAGAACAAUCCUCCCUCAGACAAGGGUCAUUUUGCUGAUGUAGAAAAAAAUAGAAAUACCAAGGAUUUGUCUAGUUCUUCUAUACAAAACCUUUGAAAACUUAGGAUUUUGUACUCAAAAAUGGGAGAGUUACAUCAUAUUUUAAACAACUUUUUCUAAAAGAGAGGUCCACUUAUUUUGAAUAAUAUUAAACUGUUAAAGUAAAUGUGUUAAUUUAACAUGGUAUAAAGUCCAGGAAUAUUACAAAAUUCUUGGACAUGUUUUGACCAUUUAAUACCAGAUAGAUAUAUAGUUCUUUGAGAAAAUAUGAGCCUUUUGUACAAACAAAUAUAUUAUAACUUAUAUUGAUCCCUCAUAAAACAUGUAAAAGGGAUAUUUAUAACAUUAAGGGGUUGCCCCCAAACUGAUUAUGACUUGGGUGGAGAAUUGUCUCAUUGUCAGUCACACAUACAAAUUAAACCAGAUUUAAUUAUUUCUUGGUGAACAAUGGUGAGCAGGGAAAAAAUACUUCAGAAAUUAAAGAAAUGUCAAAGUACAAGUGAUGAAUCAAGUUUUAAUAUUGUCAAAACCUACUAUUUAAUGUAUACAAAAAAAAAAAAAUAUAAUUGCUCGCCUUUACUUUUCAAGCUUCGCCUCAAAAAUUUGCAAAUUAAAUAUUUUUUUAUUAAAAUUUUCAAAUCGCUCGCUCGCCCCAAAUUUUGGAGUCCAAAAAUCCGUAGAACAAGAAAUUAAAUUGGUGUGGCCUUAUCACAGAAGGUAACCAAAAUGGUAACCAAAGAUUUUGCGACGAUGCAAAUAUUAAACUUUACAAUACAAAUAAAUAUCUUUAACCAAUGAUUUCAAAUAGCAAAAGCUAUACAAUUAACAAAUAUAUACUAUUAAGCUUCAUGUAAAUUAUUUAACAAUGAAAUACAUUAAAUAUGAAAUUUGGAGUUUUACCAAGGGAGCUAAUAAUUAAUUAAUAACACUGUCUACCACACAGCAUUACGGGGACUCUCCCUCUGGCAUCUUUCGUCCCUCUUUUAUAGCUGACUAUGCGGGGGCUUUUCUAAUUAAUGGGGGAAUUAUGAUGAUCUAUAGUUGUUAAUUUCUGUGUCAUUUAGUCUCUUGACAAUCAUAAUACAUAUUCUUUUAUAUAUAUAGCGAUGUCGUGUCGUUAUCACGACAUAGCUAUGUCGUUAAAACGACAUAGUGAUGUCGUUAUAACGACAUGUUAUGUCGAAAUAACGACAAAGCGAUGUCGUAAUAACGACAUGUUAUGUCGAAAUAACGACAUAGCUAUGUCGUAAUAACGACAUGUUAUGUCGAAAUUACGACAUGCUAUGACGUAAUUACGACAUAAUUUUUUUGUUUUGAAUGGCCCUUAUCGGCUUCCGUAGAUACAGGUACUGGCAUUUCUUAUUAUAUUUAUGAAGCUUUCUAAUACUGUAACAGUGUAAUCAAUAAUUAUCGGUCAUUUGUCACUUGGAAACAUUAAAAGGUGUAAAAACUAUUUUCUAUCCAAAAACUAGUAAUAUAUGACAUUAAAUCAAGUGAAACCAUAUGCACCUUCAAAAUUUGCAGAAAAUCAGAACAUCUUUUAGAAAUGAUCAAUAUUAAAAGAGGGACGAAAGAUACCAGAGGGAUAGUCAAACUCAUAUAUUGAAAAUAAACUGACAACGCCAUGGCUAAAAAUAAAAACACAGACCCUUCGUGUUGCUUAUGUUAUUUCAAAUCCGGUAAAUAGUCUAAUUCGGUUGGUCACAUUAGUGAAAAGGGAAGGGUAUUGUAGUUACGACAUAAGGAACAUAUCCGAUAUCAUCUGUGAAACGGUUAUUCCAUAACGGUCAACCUACUCGUGAUGGCGUCCGUACAAUUUACGAAGGGAUGACUUCAACUUCACCAUUUAGAUUUCUUGGUUUGAAAGCUUCCUUGUGGAAUCAUAUUCAAAACCUAUAAUUUUUGUAAACGGACAUUUUUUAUAAGAGUGCAUUUCUUUCUAACACAAAUGACACACACGGUUCAGCGAGCACACGUAUAGGAUCAUUUGUUUCUAACAUUACUUUUGCAAAUUUUGCAUAAAUUUUGACAAACUGUACACUCACUAAAAAUUAAUCUACAGUUUGUCUUCAUCGUUUGUUAAUACAAACGCUGCAUUUCUUUCUUACUUUCAAAUUGGCAUUGAGUCAAUUAUCUACUCAUAUUUUACCCAAUAAAAAGAUGCUUCUGACGAAAGAAAAAGAGGUAUAAUCCUGAUUGUCAUAACUAAAAAACAAUGUCAACAAUUACACAAAUUUAUGUAUUAUUAGGUAUAAAUGUAUGCCCUCUUUUCUUUCAGUGUUUCUAUUUUACAUUCGUCUGCUGGAGAUGAAGAACUGACAAUAAAAAUAUAUAUGAAUUGGUGUCAUGUGUGUCUGAAACAUCUUCUACAGAAGCUAUUGUACCGCGAAAUAAGAUUGUUUACAUUUUUGACAGUUCAAACAGGUCCAGUAAACACUGUUUAAACGAUGCAUUUGUUUCUAUUUUAAAUUUUAACGUUAAACACAUGAUAACAAACGGCACACAACGUUCACAAAACUUGGGUAAGAAAGAAAUGCACUCUAAAUAUAAAAGUAAAUAUUGCAUUGCAUAGUUAAUCCUCAAACAAAACACAUCUUUAUUUUAUAUGUUCAAAGUUUAAGUUUUAUUUGAACUUAUUUAGUACUUCUAUUUUAGGUGUGUAUGAUACGUAUAUUUAACUCGGACACUAAAGGAUACUGCUACAGAAUGCCACAUCAUGUAAGACAUUAAAUACUUUCUAAUAUUUUUAUAUUUGCAACAGUGUCAAAACUCAAAACCUCUGCCGUGAUUUUCAUUUAGCAUAAGACAAGAAUAAUUAUAUUCUAGACAAAAAAUCCAUUGAACAACAAUGGCAAGAUAUUACAAAUGAAAUAAAACAAUUAGAGAAGACACAUAUAAAACAAUAAAUUGAAGGAAUGAGUAUUAUGAUGAUAAUGAACAGGUGUGUUCAUCGGCAAAUUAAAUGCACAUUCAGGACGAAAACAAGUUGAUGUAAAUACAUAUUGACAAUAAAAAAGGAAGAUGUGAUAUCUCCCCACAAGAGACUAAAUGACACUGAAAUUAACACCUAUAGGUCACUGUACGACCUUCAACAAUGAGCAAAACCCAUAUCGCAUAGUCAGCUGUAAAAGUCCCCGAAAUGACAAAUGUAACAGUGGUGGAUCCAGAACUUUUCUUAAGGGGGGCCUGCUGACUGACCUAAGAGGAGGCCCGCUCCAGUCAUGCUUCAAUGAUUCCCUAUAUAAUCAACCAAAUUUUUCCAAAGAAAGGGGGGGGGGGCCGGGCCCCCCAGGAUCCGCCUAUGUGUAAAACAAUUCAUACGAGAAAACUAACGGUCCAAUUUAUGUACAAAAAAUGAACGAAAAACAAAUAUGUAACACAUAAACAAACGACAACCACUGAAUUACAGGCUCCUGACUUGGAACGGGCACAUACAUAUAGAACGUGUCGGGUUUUAAAAUGUUAAUGAAAUCCAAACCAUUCCCCUAACCAGAGACAUUGGUGUAACAGUACAAAAUAAGAAAGAUCUUUAAAAAUCAGUUAAGGAUGUUCGCUGCUCAGUUUCAAAAUAAAUAACUUUUCAUUAAACUAGUAUGUAAUAAAUUGAGGAAUCAAAAAAGCCAAAAAAUUAUAGGGGUCAAUGUGGUUGUUUUCGAGAUAUUAGCCAUUGGAAUUGUGGCGGGAAAAUGCUCUCUCUUGAUUUUUCAUAGCUUUAUCAUUGACCAGUUAAAGUUCUCUAAUAUUAUUAAAAAAUAAAUAAAAUUUUAUAAGACUUUUACAAAUGAUUAAUAAUUAUACAUGUAAAAGAUUUAUAAAAAGAAAAAUGGGGGUUCAUGGGGAAAUUUUUUUAAGGUAUUCAAAUGGAUAAAAUCAGAGGAUUCCGAAAAUCUGACAAAAAUUCCAAAACAUAACAAGCAGACAUCCUUAAAAAGGCUUAACUAAUCAGAUUUGUACAAAUAGAAAUCCGUCUAACAAAAAACACAGAGUAGACGCGGCCGGGUACUUAUAUAUCCCAAAAACUGAAAAAUCCCAUUAAGGACUGAUAUGAGAGAACUCGCAGUAACUAACAGCUAAUUUAGUUCAAAGCCACUAACAACUAAUAAAAAAAAUCUUGCAUCUAAGACUAAAUUAUCAAUCAGUACACACCCAACAUUCAGUGAAUUUAGCGUUAUGACUUCAUAAACAGUCAGAGAAAAACAAGACCUUGUGCACUGCAAGUACAGUAUGUCAGAUUGUAGAUCCAUAAUGUGUAUAUGAAUAACAAUAGUCUUGUUAAAAAGACACGGGACCGGAUUUAUAAUCAGCUAGACACAAGGUAACGUCGCAGGAUACUUGCCAUCCACAGUCAUAAUUCGCACCGAUCCAAACAAGUCUUUUCCUCCUUCGUUAUUGCCACGUGUUGAGCAUCUUUAUUAGAAUAAAGCAAGAGAGAAGAAACAUUUAAAAACUAAAGCUCGAAAGAAAACAGACAAUGCAAUGACCAAAUUCAAACAAUGACAAAAGGAAAAAAGACAGUCCAAACGAACCAUACCUUGUAUAUUUAAAAUUACACUUAUAAAUACGACCAGGGAUAAACACAUGUGCUCCGAAAGGUCAAUUUUUCAUGCUUUACGAGUGACAACCAUAGAUUUCAAGUUUAAAUUCAUUUUAAAGUAUAUAAGAAAAAAUGGUAUUUUGGUUACAGGCACCGGAAAUACAACUAUGCGCACACACACUGCUUCAAGAUCUUAAUCAAGGCAAUGCAGACUUAAGUUGCUUUUGUGACAAUGAGAAAUGCAUGCUUGAAUUAGGUAAGUUAUUGUAAGAUGUUAACUGAAGUAGUUGAAUAUUUAUCAAUCAAAGGAGUUACAAAUAAAUUUAAGGCAUAUAUCAAUGAACCAACACACAAUCAUCAAUAUUGUUCUAGAGUCCAACAUUCGAUUUUACAAAAUAAUUUACAAGUGUCAGAAAUAUGAAUAUAUUUAAUUACAAAUACUGAAUUUCGACGAAAAUUCAAAAAGGAAAGUCCCUAAUCAAAUCAAAAUCAAAGUCAAACACAUCAAACAAAUUGAUAAAAACGUCAUAUUUCUGCACUUGAUACAGAAUUUUUCCUAUUAGAAAAUGUGAUUAAACCUGUUUUUUAGCUAGCAAACCUCUCACUUGUAUACAUUCUCAUUUGAUGCAAUUGAUUCUAAGACAAGUGAUUGCAGAAAAGUAAACAAAGACUAUACAAAGAUCUGCUAUCAAGUAAAAAUCUAUAAGAAGCUUGAAAAUUCAAUAAUAUUUUAACGAGAUUCCUGUCUUUAUGAACAAACACAUUAACAAAUGGCAAGGCCAACUUCAUAUGUUUGUUAAACAAAUUUAAUCUUUUCUUCAACCAUUCUAGUUGUAUAAAAAUCAUUACUUUACAGUAUAAGCAUAAAUCAUUUAGAUUUAAUUUGCUUACUUAAAAACUAGGAAGAAAUAUGAUACGAUGUUUUGUUUUUUUUUUUUUUUUUUUGAUACGAUGUUUGUAUAACUGACCGGUCUAUACUUGAAAUAAUUCGUACUUAAAGUCAUGUUUUGUUCAUUGUCAAACACAUCCAUUGUUUUAACAAUAAACAUUACAACAUUUACUUCAUCACACACUUUGAAACUUUUGUAACAUUGAAUGUACUUAAAUAUCAGCAUCUAUGCUAAGAAUAUGUAACAUAUAGAUGCUACGAUAAUGAUUCGUAUUAUUUCAGUCGGACUCUUUAAAAUUUUUCGUGCAUUGGCAAAUGGUGCUGUUUCGACCCAAAGCAGUCAUGUACUUGAUUGCUUGGGAACUCGCUGUUCCAUUGGCCAGGUAAUACAAUAUUUAGACGAACAAGAUCUAUAUCUAAUGUCAAAUAAUCAAUUCAAAAUCACUUACUUGCGAUGACAGUAAAGCUAAUGCCAUCGUGUAAGUUAACAGUACAUCUUGGGGCAUUCAGAGUAACAAUCAUAUGUAUUGACAAGUUUAAACAGUCGGUCAUUAAUAUUGCAGAAAUAACGUAUUCGUCGAUUCGUAGUUGAGGCUUUGAUGUCAAUGUCAUCUUAAAACUAAUACAUUGUCAUUUCGGGGCCUUUUAUAGCUGACUAUGUGGUAUGGGCUUUGCUCACAGUGAAAGUCUACGGAACUAAGUUGUAAUUCGUGCAGUUUGUUCUUGUGAGAGUUGUCUCAUUGUCAAUCAUACCACAUCUUUUUUUUUAUAUAAAUAUUGAAACAUAUAAAGAUGUACAUGUAUUUAUUAUGGAAAACUUGUAGGGGUCAUAACAACACUUUUAUACAACAAGGAAACCAAAGAAAACAUGCCUAAUGAAAAAAGCACUAAAAAUGUAAAAUGGCGUCCGAAGUGCUUUCCUGGAUUUACCUUCUCAAACCUGAACAUUUGAAAACAAGGAAUGCGUAAAUCCGUUGCAAAGUUAGGAAUUAUACGGUAAAAAGCACAUUAAUAAUAGAAUAUAUAAAUAUAUAUAAUAUCAACUUUGCCAGCGAGAGUUGGAUCCUUAUAUUUAAGAAAAUUUAAAUAGAUAAAAACAAAACUGGAAAAUUAACAUUAAAUAGAAUUUGGUACAAAAGUAGCAUGUUAUACAUUGUCGUUUUAUACAUUUAGCUUCUGUGUAUACUAUAUAUAGCAACAUCCUUUACAGAUUUGUUACAUUGAAGACGGUGGGGGAAGUCCAAUAGGAAGAUGCAUGGAAGAUCCAACAAAAUUGGGUACAAAGGUUAUGUUU
RNAcentral lists this long non-coding RNA (13100 nucleotides) under Mytilus galloprovincialis (Mediterranean mussel). The record is from RNAcentral. Lineage: Eukaryota; Metazoa; Mollusca; Bivalvia; Mytilida; Mytilidae.